RNAcentral lists this ribosomal RNA (253 nucleotides) under uncultured bacterium. RNAcentral describes it as "partial 16S ribosomal RNA". It matches the Rfam family "Bacterial small subunit ribosomal RNA", at positions 524 to 776 of the family's 1533-position model. The record is from RNAcentral.
UACGAAGGGAGCUAGCGUUGUUCGGAGUUACUGGGCGUAAAGGGCGCGUAGGCGGUCUGUCAAGUCGGGAGUGAAAUCCCUGGGCUCAACCCGGGAAUUGCUCUCGAGACUGGCAGGCUAGAGGAUGGGAGAGGUUGGUGGAAUUCCCAGUGUAGAGGUGAAAUUCGUAGAUAUUGGGAAGAACACCGGUGGCGAAGGCGGCCAACUGGACCAUUUCUGACGCUGAGGCGCGAAAGCUAGGGGAGCAAACAGG